RNAcentral lists this ribosomal RNA (484 nucleotides) under uncultured bacterium. RNAcentral's name for it is "partial 16S ribosomal RNA". It matches the Rfam family "Bacterial small subunit ribosomal RNA", at positions 29 to 507 of the family's 1533-position model. The record is from RNAcentral.
AUUGAACGCUGGCGGCAUGCUUUACACAUGCAAGUCGAACGGCAGAGCGGGCUUCGGCCUGGCGGCGAGUGGCGAACGGGUGAGUAAUACAUCGGAACGUGCCCAGUAGUGGGGGAUAGCUCGGCGAAAGCCGGAUUAAUACCGCAUACGACCUGAGGGUGAAAGCGGGGGAUCUUCGGACCUCGCGCUAUUGGAGCGGCCGAUGGCAGAUUAGCUAGUUGGUGGGGUAAAGGCCUACCAAGGCGACGAUCUGUAGCUGGUCUGAGAGGACGACCAGCCACACUGGGACUGAGACACGGCCCAGACUCCUACGGGAGGCAGCAGUGGGGAAUUUUGGACAAUGGGCGAAAGCCUGAUCCAGCAAUGCCGCGUGUGGGAUGAAGGCCUUCGGGUUGUAAAGCACUUUUGGCGGGAACGAAAAGGACUGUGCCAAUACCACGGUUCGAUGACGGUACCCGCAGAAUAAGCACCGGCUAACUACGUG